This 449-nucleotide ribosomal RNA is filed under the name uncultured bacterium. RNAcentral's name for it is "SSU rRNA". It matches the Rfam family "Bacterial small subunit ribosomal RNA", at positions 26 to 518 of the family's 1533-position model. The record is from RNAcentral.
AGAACGAACGCUGGCGGCAGGCCUAAUACAUGCAAGUCGAACGCACUCUUCGGAGUGAGUGGCAGACGGGUGAGUAACGCGUGGAAACCUUCCCAAUAGUACGGAAUAACUCCGGGAAACCGGUGCUAAUACCGUAUAAGCCCUUCGGGGGAAAGAUUUAUCGCUAUUGGAUGGGUCCGCGUCGGAUUAGCUUGUUGGUAGGGUAAUGGCCUACCAAGGCGACGAUCCGUAGCUGGUCUGAGAGGAUGAUCAGCCACACUGGGACUGAGACACGGCCCAGACUCCUACGGGAGGCAGCAGUGGGGAAUCUUAGACAAUGGGCGCAAGCCUGAUCUUAGCGAUGCCGCGUGAGUGACGAAGGCCUUAGGGUCGUAAAGCUCUUUCGCCAGGGAUGAUAAUGACAGUACCUGGUAAAGAAACCCCGGCUAAACUCCGUAGCCAGCAGCCGC